Esox lucius (northern pike) is the source of this 138-nucleotide small nucleolar RNA. Ensembl annotates it as small nucleolar RNA SNORA8. Lineage: Eukaryota; Metazoa; Chordata; Actinopteri; Esociformes; Esocidae. The record is from Ensembl.
CGCACUGCAUGGUAUCUGCAGGCAGCCGCUGCUCCGGUUGAUCUGUUCAUUAGUCAGUGCAAGAAUAACUCGGUAUCUGGCAUCGUUGGUCUCAUGCUCGUCAGUGCAUGCAGUCCUGGUAUAUCUGUCGAGACAAAU